RNAcentral lists this transfer RNA (73 nucleotides) under Alosa sapidissima (American shad). RNAcentral's name for it is "tRNA-Thr". It matches the Rfam family "tRNA". From Rfam's summary of the family: Transfer RNA (tRNA) molecules are approximately 80 nucleotides in length. The record is from RNAcentral. Lineage: Eukaryota; Metazoa; Chordata; Actinopteri; Clupeiformes; Clupeidae.
GCCCCAGUAGCUUAGUUCUAAAGCGCCGGUUUUGUAAUCCGGAGACCGGAGGUUAAAGUCCCCCCUGAGGCCC